UACGUAGGGUGCGAGCGUUUGUCCGGAAUUAUUGGGCGUAAAGGGCUCGUAGGCGGUCUGUUGCGUCGGUAGUGAAAACUCAGGGCUUAACCCUGAGCCUGCUUCCGAUACGGGCAGACUAGAGGUAUGCAGGGGAGAACGGAAUUCCUGGUGUAGCGGUGAAAUGCGCAGAUAUCAGGAGGAACACCGGUGGCGAAGGCGGUUCUCUGGGCAUUACCUGACGCUGAGGAGCGAAAGUGUGGGGAGCGAACAGG
This 254-nucleotide ribosomal RNA is filed under the name uncultured bacterium. RNAcentral describes it as "partial 16S ribosomal RNA". It matches the Rfam family "Bacterial small subunit ribosomal RNA", at positions 524 to 776 of the family's 1533-position model. The record is from RNAcentral.